This 253-nucleotide ribosomal RNA is filed under the name uncultured bacterium. RNAcentral's name for it is "partial 16S ribosomal RNA". It matches the Rfam family "Bacterial small subunit ribosomal RNA", at positions 524 to 776 of the family's 1533-position model. The record is from RNAcentral.
UACGUAGGGGGCGAGCGUUGUCCGGAGUUACUGGGCGUAAAGGGCACGCAGGCGGUGCGGCGCGUUUCGCGUGACAGCGGAGGGCUUAACUCUCCGAGGAUGCGAAAGACGGCGGCACUUGAGGGCCAGAGAGGGACACGGAAUUCCUGGUGUAGCGGUGAAAUGCGCAGAUAUCAGGAGGAACACCGGUGGCGAAGGCGGGUCUCUGGGCCGUAACUGACGCUGAGGAGCGAAAGCGUGGGGAGCGAACAGG